AACUUUGCGCAGUGGCGAUAUCGUAACCAAUGAGGUACAACCGAGGUGCGAUUAUUGCUAGUUGAAAACUAAAGAUAAAGCUUUUGCUCAUAACUUUAAUGCCUUAUUCAAUAUAAACAAAAAAAAUAUAGGGGAAAUGUCUCUAAU
This is a small nuclear RNA of Ochlerotatus camptorhynchus, 147 nucleotides long. RefSeq annotates it as U4 spliceosomal RNA. The record is from RefSeq and is a predicted model, not a curated record. NCBI's taxonomy places the organism in Eukaryota, Metazoa, Arthropoda, Insecta, Diptera, Culicidae. The transcript has a single exon.